AUACGUAGGGUGCGAGCGUUGUCCGGAAUUACUGGGCGUAAAGAGCUCGUAGGUGGUUUGUCGCGUCGUCUGUGAAAUUCCGGGGCUUAACUCCGGGCGUGCAGGCGAUACGGGCAUAACUUGAGUACUGUAGGGGAGACUGGAAUUCCUGGUGUAGCGGUGAAAUGCGCAGAUAUCAGGAGGAACACCGGUGGCGAAGGCGGGUCUCUGGGCAGUAACUGACGCUGAGGAGCGAAAGCAUGGGUAGCGAACAGGAUUAGAUCCCCUGGUAGUCCAGGCCGUAAACGGUGGGCGCUAGGUGUAGGGGUCUUCCACGACUUCUGUGCCGUAGCUAACGCAUUAAGCGCCCCGCCUGGGGAGUACGGCCGCCAGGCUAAAACUCAAAUGAAUUGACGGGG
Molecule: ribosomal RNA, 398 nt
Filed under: uncultured bacterium
Lineage: Bacteria
Description: partial 16S ribosomal RNA
Rfam family: Bacterial small subunit ribosomal RNA
Source: RNAcentral